CUUGCUUCUCUUGAGAGCGGCGGACGGGUGAGUAAUGCCUAGGAAUCUGCCUGGUAGUGGGGGAUAACGUCCGGAAACGGACGCUAAUACCGCAUACGUCCUACGGGAGAAAGCAGGGGACCUUCGGGCCUUGCGCUAUCAGAUGAGCCUAGGUCGGAUUAGCUAGUUGGUGGGGUAAUGGCUCACCAAGGCGACGAUCCGUAACUGGUCUGAGAGGAUGAUCAGUCACACUGGAACUGAGACACGGUCCAGACUCCUACGGGAGGCAGCAGUGGGGAAUAUUGGACAAUGGGCGAAAGCCUGAUCCAGCCAUGCCGCGUGUGUGAAGAAGGUCUUCGGAUUGUAAAGCACUUUAAGUUGGGAGGAAGGGCAGUAAAUUAAUACUUUGCUGUUUUGACGUUACCGACAGAAUAAGCACCGGCUAACUCUGUGCCAGCAGCCGCGGUAAUACAGAGGGUGCAAGCGUUAAUCGGAAUUACUGGGCGUAAAGCGCGCGUAGGUGGUUCGUUAAGUUGGAUGUGAAAUCCCCGGGCUCAACCUGGGAACUGCAUUCAAAACUGACGAGCUAGAGUAUGGUAGAGGGUGGUGGAAUUUCCUGUGUAGCGGUGAAAUGCGUAGAUAUAGGAAGGAACACCAGUGGCGAAAGCGACCACCUGGACUGAUACUGACACUGAGGUGCGAAAGCGUGGGGAGCAAACAGAUUAGAUACCCUGGUAGUCCACGCCGUAAACGAUGUCAACUAGCCGUUGGGAGCCUUGAGCUCUUAUGCGCAGCUACGCAUUAAGUUGACCGCCUGGGGAGU
Molecule: ribosomal RNA, 802 nt
Filed under: uncultured bacterium
Lineage: Bacteria
Description: bacterial SSU rRNA
Rfam family: Bacterial small subunit ribosomal RNA
Source: RNAcentral